This 1155-nucleotide ribosomal RNA is filed under the name Bacillus aerophilus. RNAcentral describes it as "bacterial SSU rRNA". It matches the Rfam family "Bacterial small subunit ribosomal RNA", at positions 41 to 1181 of the family's 1533-position model. Lineage: Bacteria; Bacillati; Bacillota; Bacilli; Caryophanales; Bacillaceae. The record is from RNAcentral.
AGCGGGCUAUACAUGCAAGUCGAGCGGACAGAAGGGAGCUUGUCCCGGAUGUUAGCGGCGGACGGGUGAAAACAGGGGUAACCUGCCUGUAAGACUGGGAUAACUCCGGGAAACCGGAGCUAAUACCGGAUAGUUCCUUGAACCGCAUGGUUCAAGGAUGAAAGACGGUUUCGGCUGCACUUACGAUGGACCCGCGGCGCAUUAGCUAGUUGGUGAGGUAACGGCUCACCAAGGGACGAUGCGUAGCCGACCUGAGAGGGUGAUCGGCCACACUGGGACUGAGACACGGCCCAGACUCCUACGGGAGGCAGCAGUAGGGAAUCUUCCGMAAUGGACGAAAGUCUGACGGAGCAACGCCGCGUGAGUGAUGAAGGUUUUCGGAUCGUAAAGCUCUGUUGUUAGGGAAGAACAAGUGCAAGAGUAACUGCUUGCACCUUGACGGUACCUAACCAGAAAGCCACGGCUAACUACGUGCCAGCAGCCGCGGUAAUACGUAGGUGGCAAGCGUUGUCCGGAAUUAUUGGGCGUAAAGGGCUCGCAGGCGGUUUCUUAAGUCUGAUGUGAAAGCCCCCGGCUCAACCGGGGAGGGUCAUUGGAAACUGGGAAACUUGAGUGCAGAAGAGGAGAGUGGAAUUCCACGUGUAGCGGUGAAAUGCGUAGAGAUGUGGAGGAACACCAGUGGCGAAGGCGACUCUCUGGUCUGUAACUGACGCUGAGGAGCGAAAGCGUGGGGAGCGAACAGGAUUAGAUACCCUGGUAGUCCACGCCGUAAACGAUGAGUGCUAAGUGUUAGGGGGUUUCCGCCCCUUAGUGCUGCAGCUAACGCAUUAAGCACUCCGCCUGGGGAGUACGGUCGCAAGACUGAAACUCAAAGGAAUUUGACGGGGGCCCGCACAAGCGGUGGAGCAUGUGGUUUAAUUUCGAAGCAACGCGAAGAACCUUACCAGGUCUUGACAUCCUCUGACAACCCUAGAGAUAGGGCUUUUCCCUUCGGGGACAGAGUGACAGGUGGUUGCAUGCUUGUUCGUCAGCUUCGUGUCGUGAAUUUGGGUUUAAGUUCCCGCAACGAGCGCACCUUUGAUUCUUAGUUGCCCAGCAUUCAGUUUGGCACUCUUACGUUGACUGCCGGGUGACAAACCGGAAGGAAGGUUUUUG